Molecule: ribosomal RNA, 727 nt
Filed under: Parkia multijuga
Lineage: Eukaryota; Viridiplantae; Streptophyta; Magnoliopsida; Fabales; Fabaceae
Description: eukaryotic LSU rRNA
Rfam family: 5.8S ribosomal RNA (bases 309-464)
Source: RNAcentral
CCGCUGCCGGCGACGUCGCGAGAAGUCCACUGAACCUUAUCAUUUAGAGGAAGGAGAAGUUGUAACAAGGUUUCCGUAGGUGAACCUUCGGAAGGAUCAUUGUCGAUGCCCCGCCGAAAGAGAGACCCGCGAACCCGUUGGCGCGAGCCCCCGGCGGGGGGGACGGAGCCGCCCCCCGCCCACACGAACCGAAUCCCGGCGCCACAGGCGCCAAGGAAGCGCAACAGAGCAAGCGCGCCGCUGGCGGCCCGGGCACGGCGCCGACGACCCAGCGCUGCGUCUUUGAUGCCAUAGGCAUAUCCAUAAACGACUCUCGGCAACGGAUAUCUCGGCUCUCGCAUCGAUGAAGAACGUAGCGAAAUGCGAUACUUGGUGUGAAUUGCAGAAUCCCGUGAACCAUCGAGUCUUUGAACGCAAGUUGCGCCCGAAGCCAUUAGGCCGAGGGCACGUCUGCCUGGGUGUCACGCAACGUCGCCACCGCCCGAGCCCCGGGCGUGGCGGAUGAUGGCCUCCCGGGGGCCCGCGCCCCCCGGCCGGUCGAAAAGGCGGCCCGACGUGACGGCGGCCACGGUCCACGGUGGAUGAGCGACCGACACGCGCUCGAGACCGGACGUGCGCCGGCCGUCCCACGGGGGAGGGCCGACGGAGGCGGAGCCACCGACUCGUACGCGACCCCAGGUCAGGCGGGGCUACCCGCUGAGUUUAAGCAUAUCAAUAAGCGGAGGAA